RNAcentral lists this ribosomal RNA (552 nucleotides) under Tuerkayana rotundum. Its description in RNAcentral is "partial 16S ribosomal RNA". It matches the Rfam family "Bacterial large subunit ribosomal RNA", at positions 1831 to 2625 of the family's 2925-position model. The record is from RNAcentral. Lineage: Eukaryota; Metazoa; Arthropoda; Malacostraca; Decapoda; Gecarcinidae.
GUCUGUUUGUAGGUAUAAAGAGUUUAGCCUGCCCACUGAUAAAAAUUUAAGGGCCGCGGUAUUCUGACCGUGCAAAGGUAGCAUAAUCGUUAGUUUUUUAAUUGGAAUCUUGUAUGAAUGGUUGGACAAAGGAAAAUCUGUCUCUAUAACUAUAAAGUGAAUUUAACUUUUAAGUGAAAAGGCUUAAAUGAAUUAAGGGGACGAUAAGACCCUAUAAAGCUUAAUAUGGAAAUAUUAUUUGGUCAAAUUUUUAUAUUAUAAAGAUUUAGUAGUUUAUAAGUAUUAUAUUGGGGCGAUAAAGGUAAAAUGAUUAUUAACUGCUUAUUAUUUAAACAAGAAUAAAUGAUUGAAAGUUAUAAAGGAUCCUGGUUAUAGAUUAGAAGAUUAAGUUACUUUAGGGAUAACAGCGUUAUUUUUUUUGAGAGUUCUUAUCGAGAAAAGAGUUUGCGACCUCGAUGUUGAAUUAAAAUAUCUGUACAAUUGCAGAAGUUGUAUAAGAAGGUCUGUUCGACCUUUAAAUUUUUACAUGAUUUGAGUUCAGACCGGCGUGAG